Molecule: long non-coding RNA, 524 nt
Filed under: Piliocolobus tephrosceles (Ugandan red Colobus)
Lineage: Eukaryota; Metazoa; Chordata; Mammalia; Primates; Cercopithecidae
Description: lncRNA (ENSPTEG00000016991.1)
Source: RNAcentral
UUCAUUUCACCAGCCACUUUCUCCUUCCCUCCACAACAGGCCUCUUGGACUUUGGUUCCUUGAACAGGAUCCUAAGCUUGGAAACUCUCCAAGUGACAGAAAAUUGGCAGAUUCUUCAUCGUUGAUUCCUUACUGGCUCUUUGGAGAGGAAAGGAGUUUUGCUCAGGACUUGGCGGAGCCCUUUGCUUGGCACCUUAGCCAGUAACUCAAAGUUCAAGGAACUUGACAGACAGAGGCUGUUUUUCUGGCAAGGAAUGAGCCAUUGUUGGUUAGAAGAUCAGCAGGGUUGUUGACCAGAGCGCUUAUAGGUGACCUCUCCAUGUGGCUUGAGCCUGUCACAGCAUGGUGGAUGGAUUCUGGGAGUCAGCAUUCCAGGAGUGAGCAUUCUAAGAGGAAAAAAUGAGGAGCUGUCAUACAAAAAAAAAAGGUAAUUUUUUGUUAAAAGAUAGAAUUGGGAGGUCCUAGGCCAGCCCUUAUAUGUAUGCAACUGGCAUGUCUCACUGUGCGCCACCCAUGAAACCCCA